AUACGUAGGGGGCGAGCGUUGUUCGGAAUCAUUGGGCGUAAAGGGCGUGCAGGCGGUCCUGCAAGUCCGGCGUGAAAGACCCCGGCCCAACCGGGGGGACGCGCUGGAAACUGCAGGGCUUGAGUACAGGAGGGGAUGCCGGAAUUCCAGGUGUAGGGGUGAAAUCUGUAGAUAUCUGGAAGAACACCAAUGGCGAAGGCAGGCAUCUGGCCAUGUACUGACGCUGAGACGCGAAGGUGCGGGGAGCAAACAGGUUUAGAUACCCUGGUAGUCCGCACAGUAAACGAUGUGCACCAGGUGGCGGGGGGUCGACCCCCGGUACCGUAGCUAACGCAUUAAGUGCACCGCCUGGGGAGUAUGCUCGCAAGGGUGAAACUUAAAGGAAUUGACGGGG
This 394-nucleotide ribosomal RNA is filed under the name uncultured bacterium. Its description in RNAcentral is "partial 16S ribosomal RNA". It matches the Rfam family "Bacterial small subunit ribosomal RNA", at positions 523 to 918 of the family's 1533-position model. The record is from RNAcentral.